GACGAACGCUGGCGGCGUGCCUAAUACAUGCAAGUAGAACGCUGAAGGAGGAGCUUGCUUCUCUGGAUGAGUUGCGAACGGGUGAGUAACGCGUAGGUAACCUGCCUGGUAGCGGGGGAUAACUAUUGGAAACGAUAGCUAAUACCGCAUAGGAGUAGAUGUUGCAUGACAUUUGCUUAAAAGGUGCAAUUGCAUCACUACCAGAUGGACCUGCGUUGUAUUAGCUAGUUGGUGGGGUAACGGCCCACCAAGGCGACGAUACAUAGCCGACCUGAGAGGGUGAUCGGCCACACUGGGACUGAGACACGGCCCAGACUCCUACGGGAGGCAGCAGUAGGGAAUCUUCGGCAAUGGACGGAAGUCUGACCGAGCAACGCCGCGUGAGUGAAGAAGGUUUUCGGAUCGUAAAGCUCUGUUGUAAGAGAAGAACGAGUGUGAGAGUGGAAAGUUCACACUGUGACGGUAUCUUACCAGAAAGGGACGGCUAACUACGUG
RNAcentral lists this ribosomal RNA (495 nucleotides) under uncultured bacterium. RNAcentral's name for it is "partial 16S ribosomal RNA". It matches the Rfam family "Bacterial small subunit ribosomal RNA", at positions 28 to 507 of the family's 1533-position model. The record is from RNAcentral.